CUACGGGGGGCUCCAGUGAGGAAUUUUGCGCAAUGGGGGGAACCCUGACGCAGCAACGCCGUGUGAGUGAAGAAGGCCUUUGGGUCGUAAAGCUCUGUCAACUGGGAAGAAGUUACUAUGCUUAAAUAGAGUGUAGUAUUGACGGUACCAGUGGAGGAAGCGUCGGCUAACUCCGUGCCAGCAGCCGCGGUAACACGGGGGACGCAAGCGUUAUUCGGAAGUAUUGGGCGUAAAGGGCGCGUAGGCGGUCUUGUCGGUCAGGUGUGAAAGCCCGGGGCUCAACCCCAGACGUGCACUUGAAACAGCAAGACUUGAGUACGGGAGAGGAAAGCGGAAUUCCUGGUGUAGAGGUGAAAUUCGUAGAUAUCAGGAGGAACACCGAUGGCGAAGGCAGCUUUCUGGACCGAAACUGACGCUGAGGCGCGAAGGCGUGGGUAGCGAACGGGAUUAGAUACCCGAGUAGUC
This 465-nucleotide ribosomal RNA is filed under the name uncultured bacterium. Its description in RNAcentral is "partial 16S ribosomal RNA". It matches the Rfam family "Bacterial small subunit ribosomal RNA", at positions 339 to 795 of the family's 1533-position model. The record is from RNAcentral.